This 504-nucleotide ribosomal RNA is filed under the name Charidotella zona. Its description in RNAcentral is "partial 16S ribosomal RNA". It matches the Rfam family "Bacterial large subunit ribosomal RNA", at positions 1819 to 2600 of the family's 2925-position model. Lineage: Eukaryota; Metazoa; Arthropoda; Insecta; Coleoptera; Chrysomelidae. The record is from RNAcentral.
GUCCUCUUGAUUAUAAUUUGAGGUCUGACCUGCCCAAUGAUUAAUUUAAUGGCCGCAGUAUAUUGACUGUGCUAAGGUAGCAUAAUAAUUAGUUUCUUAAUUAGAAGCUUGUAUGAAAGGUUUAAUGAAAAAAUAACUGUCUUGUAAUUAAUAUUAAAAUUUUAUUUUUAAGUCAAAAAGCUUAAAUAUGCUUACGGGACGAGAAGACCCUAUAGAAUUUUAUAAAUUUUUAUUUAUCAAAUUUAGAAUUUAUUUUAUUAAUUAUAUAAUUUAUUUGGUUGGGGUGACUAAAAAAUUGAUUUAACUUUUUUUUUUUAUAACAAUAAUUAUUGAUUUUUUGAUCCAUUAUUAUGAUUAAAAGAGUAAAUUACCUUAGGGAUAACAGCGUAAUAAUUUUUUAGAGUUCAUAUUAAAAAAAUUGAUUGCGACCUCGAUGUUGGAUUAAAGUUUCUUUUUGGUGCACCACCUAAAUAAGUAGGUCUGUUCGACCUUUAAAACUCUACA